CCUCUCGUAGCUUAGUAGUCAGAGCAUUGGUGCGUAACGCCAAAGGUCCCGGGUUCGAUUCCCGGCGAGGGCG
Agrilus planipennis (emerald ash borer) is the source of this 73-nucleotide non-coding RNA. The record is from Rfam. Lineage: Eukaryota; Metazoa; Arthropoda; Insecta; Coleoptera; Buprestidae.